This is a long non-coding RNA of Triplophysa dalaica, 1102 nucleotides long. RefSeq lists it as uncharacterized. Lineage: Eukaryota; Metazoa; Chordata; Actinopteri; Cypriniformes; Nemacheilidae. The record is from RefSeq and is a predicted model, not a curated record. The transcript has 3 exons.
CUCGGAUUAGACGCAGCACAUACACAGACGAGGAAAUAAAGCAGCAAGGACCUGCACAACUGCAUGACUUUCACUUGAAUGUGGAGAUUUCGUAGUUCCUGAACCCCAAAGAAGUUUGUGCCAAACAUUCAAUCCCAAUGAAGAUAAUUGGAUAAAUGACAUGUAUUCAAAACAGGUACAUUUGCUUGAGUCAGAACUGCUUAAGCGUAUCAGUCGAACACCUCGACUACAAAGCUUUAAUGGUCUAAUGGGUAAAAAAUCAGGUAAUAAUGUUUUAAUCAAUUUUAUCAUCAAUUUCUAAAAUCUGUUGAUGACAUUAGGUUUAAAAUGCGUUGCUUUUUUGUGCAGCAAAAUCCCAAAUAUCUCGAAAUCGUAAGUUAGCUCAAUUUUGACCUUCAGAAUCUGUUUUGCUUAUUUGAUUGAAUAAUUAAAUUUGAUUUACGACUAUCACUGAUUUCUUAACUGACAUGGUAGAUUAAAAUCCUGGGCCUUUCAUUUUGUAAAAUCUAAUAUUUAAUAUGCAUCACUUGCAGGGCAGAAAUUUCAGAAGUUCCAGACCUUUGUGGGUUUGAUGGGAAAAAGGAAUGUGGCAGAUCCUGGUAAAACGUAAGAUUUCCUUUUAUAAUGAUAAUCUAGUACGAACUGUAUAAAAAUCCUGAUUUUUUUUAGGUUCCGUCUACGAAGAAAUCAAGCACAGUGACUUUGCAUUGAACUCAAGGUCAAAACUUCAGGCAUGGUUGUGAAAAAAAAAAAAAGAUAAUCAUUUAGCGUCCAGAUACUUUUGGUCUUGAUUUUGCAACCUGUUAUUUAAUCAAUUAUCUUAUCAACCCUAUUUUUUAACUAUUUGUUUGUAAAAGGCACUAAUCAAUUGUAUCUGUUUUAAAUGGCUUAAAUAUCUUAAUAAUUUUGGAGUCACUGUGUUAUUUUAUUUUAUGUACUUCAUUUCAUUAACAAUUAAAAUGUCUCAAUAGCGCCCCCUAGUGUCUAAAGGACAAUUUCUUUUUGAUGUCUUUAAAUGAAAUAUCAAUUUCAUCAAUAUUAAAAUAUGUUAAGCAUAUGUUGUGUGUUCUAAAACAAUAACUUCUGCAAUAAACACAAUCAA